UUUGGCAUUGAUCCAAAGUUGAGCGAUGUGUGAGUAAGAUGAAAGAGCCUUGCCUAGGUAUUCAGAAGCAAGAGCAAUGCAAAAACGGUCAUGCGAUCAACAAAGCAGUACAGUUAUUAAAGCCCUCCCAGGGUGAAUAAACAAAAACUCACCAAUGACAGCUAGAAAAAAACCGAACAAAAAAAAACUUUCCCUGGAGUGACCACUUUGUACUGCUUCCUUUUUUUUUAACUUAAGAAGCAAAAUUUAGUUUAUAAAAAUUAAAGCAUAAAAUCAAAUCAUAUCCCAAACAUUAAACAAAACUAACUCAAGUAACACAUUGAAUCUCACUUUUGGCUUGUGUUUGACAAGAAAUGGCCAUGGCAGUUUUUUGGCAUCUUUCCAACUGGACUUCCUUACAGAGCUGCCAGGACACUGUUAAUUAGGAAAAUAGUUGCAAAAUAAAGAGGCUUUGGAGAGAACAAACUACAAAUGUGAUUCAAAUAUAUUGAAUCUUUCCAAGAUGUGCCUUGUGGCCUUUCUCAGCGUAUUACUUGUUCAGAACAUCACUCAUGAGCCAGGAACCAUGAACAUGCAGGAACUGUGUACACGAUGUGUAGAGCCAUUAGAACAGAACACUGAGAACCAGAGGUUUGAGUCAUGAGCAGAAACCUUUAUAUCCCAAAUCUGGACUAAAGACAAAGGUAACUUAAAAUUGGCUGUCCCCAGCAAAAUCAAUUCCCACAUGGUGAUGCAGCUAAGAAUCAUCAGUAGCCAUUACUCCUAGAAGCUCAUGGAAUUUGAAAGGUGGGUAUGGGUGGCAUACUAUACCAUCCACUAUAGAGGAGUCACCUAAAGCAUUGAAUUCUGAUGGAAAACUUUACAAAUUGUAUAUGGUCAGGAGAUUGAUGAAUGACAGAUGAACCAGUGAGAGGUUCUAAACUCAGGACAGUCACUGAGUUGGUAAGGGGCAUCAAGACUGUGAAGUAAAAGAAUUGCAAACAAAUGAAUACCUGGGAAAAAUGGUACCAUGUUGAAAAUAGAAGGUGUACUGACUGGAACAAGAGAGAAUGUUGACAAACUUCGCAAGCAAGUAUGGACCUGAAAUACUCAUUUCACUAGAGUGAAACAUGAAGCCACUAGUAACUUAUUAUAUUAAUAGUGUAAAUUCUUGACCCACUUCUGUGGGUCCAUUUCUGUACAAUAUUUUUACUUUUUUUUCUAAUACUUUAAGAAACCAGCCCUCUGGC
Molecule: long non-coding RNA, 1229 nt
Filed under: Sus scrofa (pig)
Lineage: Eukaryota; Metazoa; Chordata; Mammalia; Artiodactyla; Suidae
Description: lncRNA (ENSSSCG00025060159.1)
Source: RNAcentral